RNAcentral lists this transfer RNA (69 nucleotides) under Lagocephalus lunaris (lunartail puffer). RNAcentral describes it as "tRNA-Glu". It matches the Rfam family "tRNA". From Rfam's summary of the family: Transfer RNA (tRNA) molecules are approximately 80 nucleotides in length. The record is from RNAcentral. Lineage: Eukaryota; Metazoa; Chordata; Actinopteri; Tetraodontiformes; Tetraodontidae.
GUUCUUGUAGUGGAAGCACAACGGUGGUUUUUCACGCCACAGGUCUUGGUUAGAGUCCGGGCAAGAAUU